GACGAACGCUGGCGGCGUGCUUAACACAUGCAAGUCGAACGGAAAGGCCCUGCUUGCCGGGUGCUCGAGUGGCGAACGGGUGAGUAACACGUGGGUGAUCUGCCCCUUACUUUGGGAUAAGCCUGGGAAACUGGGUCUAAUACUGGAUAGGACCAUGCUGUAGGUGGUGUGGUGGAAAGAUUAGUUUCGGUAAGGGAUGAGCUCGCGGCCUAUCAGCUUGUUGGUGGGGUAAUGGCCUACCAAGGCGUCGACGGGUAGCCGGCCUGAGAGGGUGGACGGCCACAUUGGGACUGAGAGACGGCCCAGACUCCUACGGGAGGCAGCAGUGGGGAAGAUUGCACAAUGGGCGCAAGCCUGAUGCAGCGACGCCGCGUGGGGGAUGACGGCCUUCGGGUUGUAAACUCCUUGCAGCCAUGACGAAGCCCUUGUGGUGACGGUAGUGGUAGAAGAAGCACCGGCUAACUACGUG
This 469-nucleotide ribosomal RNA is filed under the name uncultured bacterium. RNAcentral describes it as "partial 16S ribosomal RNA". It matches the Rfam family "Bacterial small subunit ribosomal RNA", at positions 28 to 507 of the family's 1533-position model. The record is from RNAcentral.